GACGAACGCUGGCGGCGUGCUUAACACAUGCAAGUCGAGCGGUAAGGCCCUUUCGGGGGUACACGAGCGGCGAACGGGUGAGUAACACGUGGGUGACCUGCCCUCAGCUCUGGGAUAAGCCCGGGAAACUGGGUCUAAUACUGGAUAUGACUCCAUGACGCAUGUUGUGGGGUGGAAAGCCUUGUGCGGCUGAGGAUGGGCCCGCGGCCUAUCAGCUUGUUGUGGGGNGAUGGCCUACCAAGGCGACGACGGGUAGCCGGCCUGAGAGGGCGACCGGCCACACUGGGACUGAGACACGGCCCAGACUCCUACGGGAGGCAGCAGUGGGGAAUCUUGCGCAAUGGGCGAAAGCCUGACGCAGCGACGCCGCGUGAGGGAUGACGGCCU
Molecule: ribosomal RNA, 387 nt
Filed under: uncultured bacterium
Lineage: Bacteria
Description: bacterial SSU rRNA
Rfam family: Bacterial small subunit ribosomal RNA
Source: RNAcentral